This 501-nucleotide ribosomal RNA is filed under the name uncultured bacterium. Its description in RNAcentral is "bacterial SSU rRNA". It matches the Rfam family "Bacterial small subunit ribosomal RNA", at positions 32 to 509 of the family's 1533-position model. The record is from RNAcentral.
AAUCAACGCUGGCGGCGUGCCUCAGACAUGCAAGUCGAACGCGAAAGUCCCCUUCGGGGGGUGAGUAGAGUGGCGCACGGGUGAGUAACACGUAGGUAAUCUACCUUCGGGUGGGGAAUAACAACCGGAAACGGUUGCUAACACCGCAUAAUGCAGCGGCACCUAAUGGUGACAGUUGUUAAAGCGGGGGAUCGAAAGACCUCGCGCCUGAAGAGGAGCCUGCGGCGGAUUAGCUAGUUGGUAGGGGACGGCUUACCAAGGCGACGAUCCGUAGCCGGCCUGAGAGGGCGGUCGGCCACACUGACACUGACAUACGGGUCAGACUCCUACGGGAGGCAGCAGUCGGGAAUUUUGGGCAAUGGGCGCAAGCCUGACCCAGCAACGCCGCGUGAAGGAUGAAAUCCCUCGGGAUGUAAACUUCGCAAGAACGGGAAGAAUAAGCCGGUAUCAAUACUACCGGUGAUGACGGUACCGUUUGUAAGCUCCGGCUAACUCCGUGCC